Non-coding RNA from Haemonchus contortus (barber pole worm), 104 nucleotides. The record is from Rfam. NCBI's taxonomy places the organism in Eukaryota, Metazoa, Nematoda, Chromadorea, Rhabditida, Trichostrongylidae.
GCUCUGCCGAGGUGCGUUUAUUGCUGGUUGAAAACUUUUCCCAAUUGCCCGCGAUGGCCCCUGAAACAUGGGUGUCAUACGCAAUUUUUGAACGCCCCUAGGGG